AUUGAACGCUGGCGGCAGGCUUAACACGUGCAAGUCGAGCGGGGUGAUGGUGCUUGCACUAUCACUUAGCGGCGGACGGGUGAGUAAUGCUUAGGAAUCUGCCUAUUAGUGGGGGACAACAUCGCGAAAGGGAUGCUAAUACCGCAUACGUCCUACGGGAGAAAGCAGGGGGUCACUUGUGACCUUGCGCUAAUAGAUGAGCCUAAGUCGGAUUAGCUAGUUGGUGGGGUAAAGGCCUACCAAGGCGACGAUCCAUAGCUGGUCUGAGAGGAUGAUCAGCCCCACUGGGACUGAGACACGGCCCAGGCUUCUACGGGAGGCAGCAGUGGGGAAUAUUGGACAAUGGGGGAAACCCUGAUCCAGCAAUGCCGUGUGUGCGAAGAAGGCCUUCGGGUUGUAAAGCACUUUUAGUGGGAAAGAAAAGCUCAAAGCUAAUAACUUUGAGCCUUGACGUUACCCACAGAAAAAGCACUGGCUAACUCUGUGCCAGCAGCCGCCGUAA
This 502-nucleotide ribosomal RNA is filed under the name uncultured bacterium. Its description in RNAcentral is "partial 16S ribosomal RNA". It matches the Rfam family "Bacterial small subunit ribosomal RNA", at positions 30 to 523 of the family's 1533-position model. The record is from RNAcentral.